Rhincodon typus (whale shark) is the source of this 1953-nucleotide long non-coding RNA. RefSeq lists it as uncharacterized. The record is from RefSeq and is a predicted model, not a curated record. The transcript has 4 exons. Lineage: Eukaryota; Metazoa; Chordata; Chondrichthyes; Orectolobiformes; Rhincodontidae.
UCCCUUCAAUGUAACUCCCAGCCACUCAACUUCCCCUUCUCUGCACGGUGUUCAUGGUCAUUGUCAAGCUGCUACAUUGAGCACUGCCCUGUAUCCUUUUCAUGGCACCAAAGACUUACAAGAGACUGGGACAGACUCAGUGAUGUCAUGGAAAGUAAUCCAAAACCAACAAUAUGAGAAAAGAAUAUAUUUAAAUAUUGUGCGGAAAAAACAAAUUGAAAUAAACAGAUGCUAGGUUCAGUAAGGCCAUGUGGAGCGGUUGGCAGUGUUUCUCACACUUCUUUGAAUUUGCCCCACUGUGAAGAUCAUGCAUGAGGUACCUUGUGAUGGGUGAAAACAGCAGUGUGACUCUGGAAGGAGUUCCUCAGCUUCCUCAGGAAGAUGCAAAGGAGGAUCCUUGCAGUGACCGUCACAUGGCAAAUGUUUGUGAAUCAAAUAUGGGGGAUAUGACAUUGUGCAGCCAUGCAAGAGUGUAUCUUCACAAUGUUUCCACAAGGAUUCCUUCUGUUCCAGGAGUUUUGUUACAUUUUAGCUGCUGGGUGGCUUUUUUCAACAUCUGCGCAUGCCUGGUAUGAUCUCACAAAAACCUUUGACUUUGUCAAUUGUAGAUGAUGUUCCUCAAAUUUGGCUACCUUCAGAAAUUUGUCACCAUUGUCUGCUUACUCCAUGACAACAUGCAAUAAGUGAUCCUCACUAAUGGCACCACCACAAACCCUAUCUUUUUGAAAACUGGUGUCUACUAAGAACAUGCCAUUGCACCAACUCUCUUCUCCAUUUUCCAUGCUGCAUUUCUAUAUCUCUACAAUAACAAAUUACCAGCAGGCAUGGGGAUAAUUUAAAGAACAGAUGGAAAGCUGUUCAAACUGCUGCCUCCAAUCCAAAGCCAAAACCAUUCCAACCUCUGUCAUAGAGCUUAAGUACAUAGAAACGCUUGUGCAUACUCAUUCAGAAAAUGAACUCCAGGCCAGUGUAGACUCCUUCACCAAACCAUAUGAGAAAAUGGACCUUUACUAAACACAAGGAAAACUCAAGUCCUUUCCCAGCAGCUCCUACAGCAAAACACCUCUGCCCAUCAAUUGAGAUUAACAGCAAGAUUAAAACAUGGACCAUUUUUCAUAUUUUGGGAGACUGUCUUGAUAAAGGCAGGCAGAGAUAACAAAAUUCAUCAUCAUCUCUAAUGUGCCAGCUCAGCUUUUGGACAACUGAGGCAAGACUAAGAUCAGGCUUUACUGGGAAGCACUGAUCCCCUGCUUCUACUUGCUUUGGAGGCUAAAAGCAACCUACAGCUGGCACCUCAAAGCACCUUGGAAACAAUGCCAACAAUAUCUUCGCAAGGCACUCAAAAUUAAGCAGCAAGAAAGGUAUCCAACAGUAGUCUCAUCCCCCAAUCCAACGUGCCCAAAACUGAGGCAUCAAUCAUUCAAAAAAAGCUUGGCUGGACAGAACAUGUCUUUCAUAUACUUGACACCAGACUCGUGAAGCACUUACUAUUCUUAGAAUUCAGGCUCACUUAGGAUACUCUCAGAAGGACAGUGGAAAUGUUGAGGGACAUCCUCAGAGCAUCCCUGAAGAGGUCAAACAUACCCUUUGAUUCAUUGGAGACCCUGUCUAGUCAUCACCGAAAUGGAGUAUGGUCAAUGGAUGGCACCAACUGUAUCGAGAGACUUCAUCAGGAAGAUGUUUUGGAGUAAGUGCAGAAAGCUCCAAACAACUCACCUACCCAACUUUUCAAAUAUUACUCUGCCGCAGUAACAGACAGUCCAUAUCAUGCAUUGGACUUAUCAACAGUCUCAAAGCCCAUCAACUUUGAAUGGAAGCGGGUCACCUUAACCCCAAGCCUUAGCAGACUUUCCUAAGAAAAAAAAUUCAAAAAUCAACAUAUUAAGUUUUCAAGUAAAUAAUUGUCACACCUUUGGAAUAUUAAAUUUAUAUUUUAUUGUCAAGCAUUUCACU